UACGGAGGAUCCGAGCGUUAUCCGGAUUUAUUGGGUUUAAAGGGUGCGCAGGCGGGGGAUUAAGUCGGCGGUGAAAUUUUGCAGCUCAACUGUAAAAGUGCCUUCGAAACUGGUUUCCUUGAGUGUAGAUGAAGUAGGCGGAAUUUGUGGUGUAGCGGUGAAAUGCAUAGAUAUCACGAGGAACUCCGAUUGCGCAGGCAGCUUACUAAGCUACUACUGACGCUCAGGCACGAAGGCGUGGGGAUCAAACAGGAUUAGAUACCCCCGUAGU
RNAcentral lists this ribosomal RNA (271 nucleotides) under uncultured prokaryote. RNAcentral's name for it is "partial 16S ribosomal RNA". It matches the Rfam family "Bacterial small subunit ribosomal RNA", at positions 524 to 794 of the family's 1533-position model. The record is from RNAcentral.